AGUGAACGCUGGCGGUAGGCCUAACACAUGCAAGUCGAACGGCAGCACAGUAAGAGCUUGCUCUUACGGGUGGCGAGUGGCGGACGGGUGAGGAAUACAUCGGAAUCUACUUUUUCGUGGGGGAUAACGUAGGGAAACUUACGCUAAUACCGCAUACGACCUACGGGUGAAAGCAGGGGAUCUUCGGACCUUGCGCGAUUGAAUGAGCCGAUGUCGGAUUAGCUAGUUGGCGGGGUAAAGGCCCACCAAGGCGACGAUCCGUAGCUGGUCUGAGAGGAUGAUCAGCCACACGGGAACUGAGACACGGUCCAGACUCCUACGGGAGGCAGCAGUGGGGAAUAUUGGACAAUGGGCGCAAGCCUGAACCAGCCAUACCGCGUGGGUGAAGAAGGCCUUCGGGUUGUAAAGCCCUUUUGUUGGGAAAGAAAAGCAGCAGGUUAAUACCCCGCUGUUCUGACGGUACCCAAAGAAUAAGCACCGGCUAACUUCGU
This 491-nucleotide ribosomal RNA is filed under the name uncultured bacterium. RNAcentral's name for it is "partial 16S ribosomal RNA". It matches the Rfam family "Bacterial small subunit ribosomal RNA", at positions 29 to 506 of the family's 1533-position model. The record is from RNAcentral.